This 254-nucleotide ribosomal RNA is filed under the name uncultured bacterium. RNAcentral describes it as "partial 16S ribosomal RNA". It matches the Rfam family "Bacterial small subunit ribosomal RNA", at positions 524 to 776 of the family's 1533-position model. The record is from RNAcentral.
UACGUAGGUGGCGAGUGUUAUUCGGAUUUACUGGGCGUAAAGGGUUCGUAGGGGGCAUGCUAAGUCCGACGUGAAAGCUCAUGGCUUAACCAUGAAAUGUCGUUGGAUACUGGCAAGCUUUGAGGACUGGAGAGGAGAGUGGAAUUCCUGGUGUAGCGGUGGAAUGCGUAGAUAUCAGGAGGAACACCGAUGGCGAAGGCAGCUCUCUGGACAGUACCUGCCACUGAAGAACGAAAGCUGGGGGAGCAAACAGG